Molecule: long non-coding RNA, 2658 nt
Organism: Notolabrus celidotus (New Zealand spotty)
Lineage: Eukaryota; Metazoa; Chordata; Actinopteri; Labriformes; Labridae
Exons: 4
Source: RefSeq, a predicted model, not a curated record
UGUUGUAGCAGCAGUUUGUUGAUCCGGUUCAUCCUCAGGACCCCGCCUCCUGUCACAGGACAGUCUCUGCACGCCGUGCAGGGAGUGACAGAGGGUCCAGAGCACGCAAACGCUGUCCAUGCUGCAAAGACGAGCAGCAGCAGCACUCUGCUCCUGCCUGCCCGCCUCAGAAGAGGAAGAGGACCUCUGUGGCUCCUCCUUCCAGAGCUUCUGCUGAACCUCUGGUCCCAAGGCCUCGGUCCCCCAUUCCACCUGAUGAGCUUCCCGUCGUCUCCAGUGUGGCCCCCAGCCCCCGGCCCUCCACCUCUCCACUGCAGCCUGACUCAGAUCCCAGGAUCCACAACCGCUCAGUGGAGGAGUAUCAGCGGAUCUACCAUGAAGUGGUAGACGACAUGCUGAAAUUUAAGAACGGCCGCCCUCGUCCCUACAGCUUAGAGCUGGGACGUCGGAUCAAACAGAAGCUCUGGGAACGACUGAACCGUCCUUAUUUCACAGAGACAGUGGAUGAAAACGGACUUGUGCAUGUGGAAGCGUCAUACGGGGUCGGAGUCUAUCCUCCUCAGUAUGACAUGGACACAUCAGGAGAACCACAGCCUGAGACUCCUCCACAGAAAAGAGCCAGGAAGUAGAGCUCAGAGACUUUUUAUGAGCUAAAGAAGAACAAACUGUAAAUAUGUAAAUAUGUAGUUUUAAGUUUUAAGUUUUAAGUUUUCUUUAAGAGCCAGACAAUGCAGCCUGAGCCUCCACCUGCACCACCUGACGGGAUACGGGAACUCUAAAAAACAUUUAAAAGACUUGUUUCAUGCUCUGCCUCCAACCAAAGAUCCACCUUAAGCCUCCUCCUGCCUGACCUUGUAGCCUUAACCCACCUCCACCUAAAACCACCAAGGUGAAGAUCCAUCCUCAGUCUCCAACCAAACAACAGCUUGCUUCCUCCAGCGUCUGCCAGCAGCUUUUAACAUCCAGCAGCUGCAGAUUCAAAAAUCAUGUCGACCUGCACUUGAAAAAUGAUGCUCAGCUUCAGCCAAACACUCAACAUCAACCUCUGCCAUUAAUCUACAGCCACCUCCACCUGCAGAUUGUGGCAGACAGCUGAAGCCUGAGCCUCAACUUUCGACUAUGACCAAACACCGGAUUUGACCUCCUCCAACUUUGUCUUCUGCAAGAUGUCUGCACCUUCACCUCCACCUGCAGACUGUGUAUAGACUCUUGCAGAAGUUGUCUCCACCUUGAUAGAUCUUUUUGAAUGCAGAGGCAUCUGUUGCCUCUUCCUCCAGCCUCUCCUACCGACUGACAACUGUUGCCUCCACCUGAAGCCUCUGCCCGCAGACUGCAGGUUACACCUCCAUCUGCAUAUCCAGGCAGAGAGCCUCACAGGCCCACAGUGUCAGAGUCCUCCAACCACAAGGGUCUGACGGAAGCCUGAACCUCCACCUAAACCUUCUGUUAGCUGAACUACCAACCAAGCCCCUGCUGCUGCUCCUGAAACAUCCACCUGGAGCUUCUGCCUGCUGUCUGCAGCCACUGAUUCUACAUGUAGACAGCUGCAGACAGGAGCGGCCAGAACCAGACUUCUAUCAAACCCUCAACCACAAUACUACACCUGAUGUUUCUGUUUCACAGCAUCCGCCUUCAUCCAGCCUCCUGCCCCUCUGCCUCCAUCUGCAGAGGCUUCCUUCCUCUGGACGUUAAAGGUUCUUCUGGACUCACCAACAUCCAGAUCUGCAGGAGCUGAUGAAGGCUGGUGCAGAAGGAUUUUCUGCUACAAGAGCUGUGCACAGAGACGUCUUCAUGUCCUCCUCAUCCUCCAUAUUCACCUCAGCUCCUGCUCCUCUCCUGAAAGCUCCUCCUCUCAUGGACCCUUUAGUUUAACAAACGUUCUUGUCUCCUCCAUAAAUUAGCUCCAAUAAUAGAAACAAAUCAGGGUAGUUAUAUUAAAAACAAAAUAUGAGCUUAGGAGACAAAGACACUCAGAUUAUUAUUUUUGGAAUGUAGUUAGCUGACCAAAAAUGAGAACAUUUUGUAUUAAGAGAUAGGGUUUAUGACUUAUUAUAUUAAAAAGUAAAAUAAAUAGGUUUUGAUUCAGCUACUAACUAAAAUGAUUUUAAUCUAAAUGCUUUCACAAACAGAAACUCAUUGAGAAAAAAUAGACUUAAAAAGACAAAUCCUGAACUAAAGAAGUUACAAAAUCAGUCAUAUGUUUCAUCAAAUAAUCCCAGCCAGUCACAGCAGAUGGUUGUUCACCAUGGGUCAGGUUCUGCUCGAGGUUUCUGCCUGUUGAAAGGAAGUUUUUCCUCGCCACUGUUGCCAAAGUGCUUGCUUGUGGUGGAUUCAAAUGGGGCUUUCUUAAUAAUAGAACAGAGUACAGGUUAGACCUGCUCUUUAUGUAAGCUUGACUGAGAUCCCUUUUAUCAUGGGAUGUUGCAUCUUAUUAUGCAUGAAGUAGUUCAUGAGAAGUUAAAGACUCUCAGGAAAAAGUUAUGAUCUCUUAUGAAGAUCACUCAGGACCACAAACGCUUCAAAGAAUCAAAUCCUCAAAGAUAGAAACAGCCUGCUAAGAGAAGACACAAAAACAGAAAUAUGAGCUGAUUUAUUUCACCUUUAUUAGAUUGACCUUCUCCACAGUGAGGACUAAAGUACUAUAUGCUACAAAUAUCA